This 148-nucleotide non-coding RNA is filed under the name Pan troglodytes (chimpanzee). The record is from Rfam by way of RNAcentral. Lineage: Eukaryota; Metazoa; Chordata; Mammalia; Primates; Hominidae.
GCCGGGCGUGGUGGUGCGCUCCUGUAAUCUCAGCUACUUGGGAGGCUGAGGCAGGAGAAUCGCUUGAACCUGGGAGGCGGAAGUUGCAGUGAGCUGAGUUUGCGCCACUGCACUCCAGCCUGGGCGACAAAGUGAGACCCUGCCUCAA